RNAcentral lists this ribosomal RNA (164 nucleotides) under uncultured bacterium. RNAcentral's name for it is "partial 16S rRNA". It matches the Rfam family "Bacterial small subunit ribosomal RNA", at positions 355 to 511 of the family's 1533-position model. The record is from RNAcentral.
UAGGGAAUCUUCCACAAUGGACGCAAGUCUGAUGGAGCAACGCCGCGUGAGUGAAGAAGGUUUUCGGAUCGUAAAGCUCAGUUGUUGGUGAAGAAGGAUAGAGGCAGUAACUGGUCUUUAUUUGACGGUAAUCAACCAGAAAGUCACGGCUAACUACGUGCCAG